RNAcentral lists this long non-coding RNA (3982 nucleotides) under Gossypium barbadense (sea-island cotton). RNAcentral describes it as "long non-coding RNA (GBAR_LNC010739)". The record is from RNAcentral. Lineage: Eukaryota; Viridiplantae; Streptophyta; Magnoliopsida; Malvales; Malvaceae.
UCAAAUUCCUUUUCAUCUUGGAAGUAAAAUAAUCAUAACUAGAAGGCACCGAUGUUUACUGAAUACUCAUUUCAUAAGCCAAAUGUUUCAUUUGGAAGCAUCAUCCAAUUAUGGAGACUUAAUCGAGUCAUUUGAAGUGAAAGAAUUAGCUUCAAGUAAAUCCCUUCAACUUUUUAAUUGGCAUGCCUUUGGUUGCAAAUCAAUACCUGAAAGUUUUUAUGGAGUGUGCAAUAAAUUUAGUGAAAAACUGUGGUGGGCUUCCAUUAGCUCUUCAAGUUUUGGGCUCUUCAUUGUACAACAAAAGUAUGAGCUUAUGGAAAAGUGCAUUGAAGAAAUUAGAAGCAAUGCCUAAUAGAAAAAUUCAAAAGAUUUUAAGGAUAAGUUAUGAUUCUUUGAAAAACGAUCAUGACAAAAAUUUAUUCCUUGACAAAGCUUGUUUAUUUAUUGGGAAAGAUAGAAAUUACACGACUACAAUUCUAGAUGGUUGUAAUUUUUAUACAACAAUCGGAAUUGAAAAUCUAAUAGGUAGGUCUCUCCUAACUAUUAAUGAAAAAAACAAGCUAAUGAUGCAUCAAAUGAUCAGAUAUAUAGGAUGAGAAAUUAUUCGUCAAGAAUAUCCUGAUAUUGGAAAAUGAAAUAGGUUAUGGCAUAAAGACGCAUUUGAUGUAAUAAGAGAAAAAGCGGUAAGAAACUUCCUUUAUUUUUUUCUUAUUUAUAUGUAUCUAAAUUUUAUUAAAUUGUUAUUGUUUCUAAUACAGGGUUUAAAAAUAAUCAAGUGCCUCAUCCUCAACUUACGAGGAUCAUUGGAAAGCAAGUCUAAAAGGACAACUACAAGUCUACAUUUUCCAAAGCAUUCUAAAAUUCAGUUUCUCGAUGACGGUAUGCAAACUCAAUCAUUUGCAAAGAUGAAGAUACUUAAAUUGCAUCAGUUGGAUUAUGUAAAACUUAAAGGAGACUUCAAAGACUUUCUGAUAAGCUUAAUAUGGAUAUGUUCGCAUGGAUUUUUUAAGCAAUCUCUUCCGGUAAAUUUUGAUAUCAAAAGACUAGUUGUUCUUGAUAUUUGCAACAAUAACCUUAAACAGGUUUGGAAGGAUAAAGAGGUAUGUUACCUACUAAUUUCCCCUUUUUUGGGGUUUGAAACCAUAAUACAUUUUGUAGAAGAAGACAGUUUUCUUUUUCCUCGUUUUUGCAAUGUCUCUCAAAUUUAAAGAUACUUAAUUUCAACCAUUCACAUAGCCUUAUCAAAACCCCAAACUUUUCAGGACUUCUAGUCUUUAGAAGUUGAUGCUCAAAGACUGCAUAAAAUUGGUGAAGGUUGACCAGUCCAUUGGUGAGCUAAAGAUGCUUACUUUCUCUAACCUUAAAGAUUGUAAAAGUCUUAGGAAACUUUCUAGGAGAAUUGGUUCAUUAAUAUCAAUUGAAGAGCUUAAUUUAUCUAGUUGUUCAAGACUUGAUGAUGUUCCCAGGGAGCUGUGUAAUAUGAAAUCAUUAAAGGUACUUAAUUUAGAUGAAACUGCCAUAUAUCAAGCUAGAUUGUGGUUUCCCUGGCUUUUAUCAAAAAGAAGCAAAGAAUUGGAUUUCUCUUUGGCAUUUUUACUGUGCUCUUUGGUAAAAUUAAGUCUUGAAAGUUGCAGAUUAUAUGAAGAUGUCAUUCCCGAUAAUCUUUGGAAUUUAGAUUCCCUGAAGUCAUUAAAUUUAAGUAGAAACCCAAUUCAUUGCUUGCCUAGAAGUAUAAAAAACCUUAAAAAACUUGAUGAACUUCUAUUGACUUUUUGCACUGCACUCCAAAUGAUUCCAAAGCUUCCAGUGUUGUUAAAUUUUGCUAAGACAUUUGUGUCAAUAAAGAGCAACAUAAUAGUUCAUCGUUCAAAUAUUCUGCAUUGUUUUUUUAAUUCCAAAUGUUGUGUUAUUUUUGGAUGUGAAAGAUUAACUGAAGUUCAAGGUAUAUUCGAGUUGGAACCAAUUGAAAACUUUGAAGCUGAAGAGAUUAAAUGAUUAUUCGACGUGGGCUCUAUUGACAGAAAUCAAGCUCAAGUUUAUAACUUUCUAACAGACAGAACAAUGCUUUAUACCCUACAGGUCCAAUAUAAGUUAAAGUUUAUGUCCAUUUUUUCCCUUAAUCUUAUUUAAUCAAAACAUCUGUAAUUAUCUUAUAAUUUUUAUGGAUCAGGUGUUGCAGGAAUGUCGUAUAACUAGCACCUUUGUUGUAGGAAGUGAAGUUCCAAUUGGGUUUAAGCAUUGCACUAACGAGCAUUAGAUAUCUUCUUCUUUUUUUUGCCAACACCAUCUCAUCUAGAAGAAAAGAUCCAUACUUCAAUUUCUGCAUCGUUUUUUCAAUUCUUAGUGAUCAAAUAAUGGAAUUUGCACCAAGUGUGAGGAUUUGUAAUGAGACAAAAAGGAUCAUGUGGAUUCAUCGCUCAUGUUUCAUUGGAAUUCCUAAGACUAAGGAUAACACAUUGUUAUGGUUAAUCCAUUGGCCAGCAAUGGAUUUUCAGCUAGAUGGUGGUGACCUUCUGUUAAGGUUCAUGUGUAUCAGCUUAAGGAGGUUAGAGUAGUUAGUCAGUUAGUAACAGAAGCAGUUUAUAUCAACUACUAAUCUGUUGAGAGUAGUUGUCCAACAAGUCUAUAUAUACAAUGCUAUCAAUGUGUAAAGUUGAGUAUGUUGAAAUACAGAGAAUUCAGUUCAGUUUAUAUCCAGUUAUUUCUUUCUAAAAUUUAGAGUGUAUUACCUAUUUUCUUUCAUGGUAUCAGUCGCUUUGUGAUCCUCGGAGCUAUGGCUAACUCGAAUUUCGCUGAUUCUUCCUUGGUUGAUGGUGGUUGGGCUGUUUUCACUGAUGAUAGUGUUGUGAACUCGUUCCCUCGGCAUGAGAUUGUAAAGCUUGAUUAAGGAACCUUCUUCCAAUGGAAACAACAGGUACGGUUAAUCCUGUGUGGCUAUGAUUUGAUAAGAUUUCUAGACAGUACCUUAUUUCUACCAGUGAAGUUCAUUCAAUCUCCAGACGGUUCUCUUGCUCCUAAUCCGUCCGUGCUGAUCUUUAUGUAACAAGAUCAUUUCCUCACUUCGUGGUUGCUGUCCACGAUACAUGGUUCUUUGCUGUCCUCCUUCACGGAGGCUAGGACGGCUUGCAAUGUGCGGACUAUAGCGAUGAGUCUUUUCGUGGCCUACACUAGUACUAAACAAUCUCAGAUUCGUCAUGACCUUCAUUCUCUCAAGAAAUGUAUGCUUUCAAUCAAAGAUUACGUUACUCGUAUAAAGAAUCUUUGUGCGCUCUUGGAAGCCUCAGGUACUCAGAUUUCUGAGGCAGAGAAGACGGGCAUUCUGACUACCGGUCUACCUACUGAAUUUGAUGCUGUCGUUUCCUCAGUGUUUAUCUCGUCCGGGCUGGUACCAUUUCAAAGGCUCGUUGAUGCUCUACUUGCAUUUGAGAAUCGUCAAUUACAAGUGGUUCAGGAGGUGAUUCUACAUGCCAACCUCGUGGAGGCAGGUUCGUCAUGCGCACCUGAGGUCUCCAUCCGUGGUGGUUGUCUUCCGUCCGGUGGCCGUGGGUUAAAGUUCCGUCCGCACAUUCAAUGUCAGAUCUGUAAUAGAUUCGGGCAUCUUGCUCAGCGGUGCUAUUACCAUUUUCACAGUGAUUUUGGUGGCUCGUCCGUGAUGGAUCGGGUGUCGCGAAGUGGUGAUGAGCCUACUCUGGCAUUGGGCAGUGGUCCAGGUCCGAUGGCCUAUGCGCCGAACGUAGAUUUUGCUGAAAAUGGUGGCCCUCUCAACGUAUGCGGUUCUCUUAUGGUCAAAAUUCAGCUGGUUAAAAUCAGCCUGGUCAAAAUUGGUGUCCAGUUGGUGAUGUGUAUGAGUUUCAAGAUGGGUCAGAUGUCCCACGUUUUACUCGGCCUAGGAGUGUGUUUCGUGGGCCAUAUAGGCCGACUUUCAACAUGGCUAAUGAGCCAUUUGGGCCUGCAAAUUUCAAGUUUAAUAGACCAGUUUUCA